GAUUUUAGGAACUUACUGUAAAGAUAUGCAGUAAAUGUUUGCUGCCCCAAUUCAGGGUGAGGGAGUUUUAGCAAAAAGUCUCAUAGCAGCCUAGGUACAAUGCAAGCCUCAUUCUCCAUGGGAAAAACUAUCCGUGGGUGUGGCUCCUGUCUGCUUCAAUGCCA
Molecule: long non-coding RNA, 164 nt
Organism: Phyllostomus discolor (pale spear-nosed bat)
Lineage: Eukaryota; Metazoa; Chordata; Mammalia; Chiroptera; Phyllostomidae
Exons: 3
Source: RefSeq, a predicted model, not a curated record